UUCCAGCGAGCGCAAGAGCUGGCAAUCUCCAGGAGCAAGAAACUGAGCAAGGAAGGCAAGGGAACAGCAGGGCUGAGUAGGGAACUGCUGGUCAGACUGAAGGGAAAGAAGCAAAGGGACAAAAGAAGCAGUUGAGCUAGAAUGGGUGGCCCAGGAAGAGCUUGCAGAGACCUUGAAGAGAUCAAGUUUGGUUGUGCAGGGUCAGGAUGAGGAAGUCCAAAGCAAAACUGGAAUUGAUCUUGGCAAAGGGCACAAAAAAUAACAGGAAGGGCUUCUACAGGCACGUUAACCACAAAAGGAAGGCCAAAGAAGUCUCCAAGGGCAACAUUUCUUCUCACAUCUCCUGAGAGGAUGGACAGCAGGACCCGGACUGAGGGAACAAAGUCCUUCCCACUGCAGUGAAAAUUCAUAACUUGUUACUUCUGCCUAUUGUUCUUCUGAUGUGCACCUCUAAGGAAAGUUUGGUUCCAUCGUCUCCACAAUGCCCCUGCAGCAACACUCAAGGGAGAGUAUUCUUAUGUUUGAAUCAGCUGGGAAUUACAAGAUACACACAUAUUGUAUUUACUGGGAUGGCACCCUGACCACAUCAUCCUAUCUAAGAAAGAAGAACCCUUGACAUCAGAUUAUGAGUGCAAGGUGAGCUUUUAACACCAGGGAAGAGGCAUAAAUGAGUCCUUCUGCUGAGAUGUUGUGUUACUGAGGAUCCUUAACUGAAACUGCACAAUUUGGAUUGCUUACAAGUUUUAGCAGUAUUGCAAUUGGGCCUAUGCAAGAUUGUAAUGGUUUGUUUAGACUGUGGAGACAUUCAGUGUCUACUGAAUGAAUGUUGAACAAGAACUAUGGCCCUUGGCUGCUAAGCAAGAGUUAUGGCCCUGAACUGUUGUAUCUGUCAGUCAGAUGCACCACAAACACACUGGUGGCCAUUGCUUGAGCAGAAGUGGGGGAAGUGGGGGCGCACCAUCACAUACAGACAUAACCUUGAAAAAAUGCCAAACAGAGGCAAGAAAAAUGACAAUUUCUAAUUCCAAUUUCUAGCUCUCUUGCCUCCCUAUAAUGAAGGAAAUGCAUGUAACACAGAGAAAGAUCACUUGCUUUACACUUAUUGCUGUUCUUCUCACAGGUUUUAUUGUAGGAAGUCACAAGUAUGGUCAAAAUACUAGAAGUAAUAUAUGAAGAAUACUUACAUUACAUUGGUCUAAGCAAACAAAAUGCAGUAUUUUAUUUAUGGCACAGCUUUAGAAGGGCAGAAAUGCAAGAGUGACAUAUAUAUAUUAUUAUUUUAUUAAUUAUCACAUCUGUUAAAUGAAAGUUAAAGAAUAUAAUUAUUGUUUUAAACAGCAAAAUGCUAAUUGUAUUUCAUAUUUGAAUGUUAGACACAUUGGAUUUCACUGUAAAGUGUUUGAAACUAUAUUUUUCUGAAAGGCUAAAAAUGAAAGCCAGUCUGAAAUGGCUUUCAUUUUCUAUUUUAAAAUAAAAUUUCUAUAUGAUUUCCACCUCACAUAUUAAAAACUUUUCUGCCACUCACAAGACACUUAGAUUAGUGGGAACUGGAAAAUGUCAGUUUGAAGGGAUUUUAUGAUCAAAAUAAGACCCCAGCAAAGAUUAGGAUAGAGAAUUUUUUAACUUGCCUUACUAUGUACAUUAAGAG
Haemorhous mexicanus (house finch) is the source of this 1648-nucleotide long non-coding RNA. RefSeq lists it as uncharacterized. The record is from RefSeq and is a predicted model, not a curated record. NCBI's taxonomy places the organism in Eukaryota, Metazoa, Chordata, Aves, Passeriformes, Fringillidae. The transcript is spliced from 4 exons.